This is a transfer RNA of 74 nucleotides. It matches the Rfam family "tRNA". Rfam says of the family: Transfer RNA (tRNA) molecules are approximately 80 nucleotides in length. Their secondary structure includes four short double-helical elements and three loops (D, anti-codon, and T loops). Further hydrogen bonds mediate the characteristic L-shaped molecular structure. tRNAs have two regions of fundamental functional importance: the anti-codon, which is responsible for specific mRNA codon recognition, and the 3' end, to which the tRNAs corresponding amino acid is attached (by aminoacyl-tRNA synthetases). tRNAs cope with the degeneracy of the genetic code in two manners: having more than one tRNA (with a specific anti-codon) for a particular amino acid; and 'wobble' base-pairing, i.e. permitting non-standard base-pairing at the 3rd anti-codon position. The record is from Rfam.
GAGUCUGUAGCUCAGCUGGAUAGAGCAACGGCCUUCUAAGCCGUAGGUCGUGGGUUCGAAUCCCCCCAGGCUCG